This is a non-coding RNA of Schistosoma haematobium, 45 nucleotides long. The record is from Rfam. Lineage: Eukaryota; Metazoa; Platyhelminthes; Trematoda; Strigeidida; Schistosomatidae.
AUUCGGCUGACGAAUCUCAAAUAGAAAGAAACGCGCGUCCUGAAU